RNAcentral lists this ribosomal RNA (429 nucleotides) under Fusobacteriota bacterium. RNAcentral's name for it is "Fusobacteria bacterium partial 16S ribosomal RNA". It matches the Rfam family "Bacterial small subunit ribosomal RNA", at positions 355 to 776 of the family's 1533-position model. The record is from RNAcentral. Lineage: Bacteria; Fusobacteriati; Fusobacteriota.
UGGGGAAUAUUGCACAAUGGGCGCAAGCCUGAUGCAGCCAUGCCGCGUGUAUGAAGAAGGCCUUCGGGUUGUAAAGUACUUUCAGCGGGGAGGAAGGGAGUAAAGUUAAUACCUUUGCUCAUUGACGUUACCCGCAGAAGAAGCACCGGCUAACUCCGUGCCAGCAGCCGCGGUAAUACGGAGGGUGCAAGCGUUAAUCGGAAUUACUGGGCGUAAAGCGCACGCAGGCGGUUUGUUAAGUCAGAUGUGAAAUCCCCGGGCUCAACCUGGGAACUGGAUCUGAUACUGGCAAGCUUGAGUCUCGUAGAGGGGGGUAGAAUUCCAGGUGUAGCGGUGAAAUGCGUAGAGAUCUGGAGGAAUACCGGUGGCGAAGGCGGCCCCCUGGACGAAGACUGACGCUGAGGUGCGAAAGCGUGGGGAGCAAACAGG